RNAcentral lists this long non-coding RNA (468 nucleotides) under Heterocephalus glaber (naked mole-rat). RNAcentral's name for it is "lncRNA (ENSHGLG00100045185.1)". The record is from RNAcentral. Lineage: Eukaryota; Metazoa; Chordata; Mammalia; Rodentia; Bathyergidae.
CUGACUCUUCACGACCACCACCCGUCCCACCGAGAGAGAUUUCAACCCAUUCACAGACUCCAGGAUGCGUUGCUGAAGGGUAGGGGCGCACAUGCCGUGCCGUGAGGAGCCACGUCACUGGGACACCAGGACUGAGUCCCAGAGCACCAGGGCACCCGUCUUCCCCCGGCUCGCUCUGGCCAGGCCUGCUCACCUGGAUCCUGCUCCGGGUCUCUACCAGCUCCUCCCCCCAGCCGUAAUAGUCAGGCAGAUCAGCCAGCUGGCCAGUCACGUCGGGCUCCUCCAGGGACCCCAGCUUCUUGCAGAACGCGCAGCGCGGCCCACCCUCCUCACCUUGCUGUCCUUGCGGAACGGGAACUCGGAGAAGCUCCUCUUCAUCAUGUCCUCCACCCUGAGUGCAUCCACCCGCAGCAGGUUGAGGAUCAUAGUGUCGGCCAUCUCGGGCACGCGGGCCUUGCAGAGCAGCAC